Molecule: non-coding RNA, 73 nt
Organism: Trichonephila clavipes
Lineage: Eukaryota; Metazoa; Arthropoda; Arachnida; Araneae; Nephilidae
Source: the annotation of a GenBank genome assembly
GUCCCUGUAGAGCAAUGGAUAUCACGUUGGACUUUGAAUCCAACGGUCAUGGGUUCAAAUUCCACCUGGGAUG